Molecule: ribosomal RNA, 292 nt
Filed under: uncultured bacterium
Lineage: Bacteria
Description: partial 16S ribosomal RNA
Rfam family: Bacterial small subunit ribosomal RNA
Source: RNAcentral
GUGUCAGCAGCCGCGGUAAUACAGAGGGUGCGAGCGUUAAUCGGAAUUACUGGGCGUAAAGGGUGCGUAGGUGGUUGAUUAAGUUGGAUGUGAAAUCCCUGGGCUUAACCUAGGAACUGCAUACAAUACUGAUGAGCUAGAGUGUGGUAGAGGGUAGUGGAAUUUCCGGUGUAGCGGUGAAAUGCGUAGAUAUCGGAAGGAACACCAGUGGCGAAGGCGGCUACCUGGACUAACACUGACACUGAGGCACGAGAGCGUGGGGAGCAAACAGGAUUAGAAACCCUUGUAGUCC